Molecule: long non-coding RNA, 516 nt
Filed under: Parus major (Great Tit)
Lineage: Eukaryota; Metazoa; Chordata; Aves; Passeriformes; Paridae
Description: lncRNA (ENSPMJG00000003534.1)
Source: RNAcentral
UCCUAAACUUUUCCCCCCAGUAAUGCAAGCCGGUAAAAUGGUAAACGCAGCAGUUUGGUGACAUCCAAAACCGACCUGUUGUCAGAAUAAUAAAACUGGUAGGUGGCAGCAGCAGCAGCAGCAGCAGCAGAAGACACUCAUGACUGUGACCUGAAAAACCUCCAGUACUGGGAGAAAUGGAUUGCAAAAUACUAACUGGAGUAAGGGGAAUGGAGAAGAGAGGCAGAGUCCCUGAACUGUCCCUUUGAAUGGAAUCUAAUGCUUGUGAAAGAUGCUGGAUCACCAGGUGCAGAGAUUGAACUCUACCCACUGGAAAGGUUUUUCUACAGCGACAGGAGGUCUUCCCUUGCAUCUCAUGGGAACACUUAGCGUUUUGAUAAUGCCUCCUUCACAAUGAAGGGAAGAAAGGAUGGAUCAGCAGGGAUGUGCAAUGGAGUGAUGUCCACACAUGGCAUUAACGGUCAUGAUCCCUGUCCUCACUUGGAGAAUUGAAUAAAAGAGUUGAAUUGUAAUUCA